RNAcentral lists this ribosomal RNA (388 nucleotides) under uncultured bacterium. RNAcentral's name for it is "bacterial SSU rRNA". It matches the Rfam family "Bacterial small subunit ribosomal RNA", at positions 28 to 417 of the family's 1533-position model. The record is from RNAcentral.
GACGAACGCUGGCGGCGUGCUUAACACAUGCAAGUCGAGCGGUAAGGCCCUUUCGGGGGUACACGAGCGGCGAACGGGUGAGUAACACGUGGGUGACCUGCCCUCAGCUCUGGGAUAAGCCUGGGAAACCGGGUCUAAUACCGGAUAUGACUCCAUGACGCAUGUUGUGGGGUGGAAAGCCUUGUGCGGCUGAGGAUGGGCCCGCGGCCUAUCAGCUUGUUGGUGGGGUGAUGGCCUACCAAGGCGACGACGGGUAGCCGGCCUGAGAGGGCGACCGGCCACACUGGGACUGAGACACGGCCCAGACUCCUACGGGAGGCAGCAGUGGGGAAUCUUGCGCAAUGGGCGAAAGCCUGACGCAGCGACGCCGCGUGGGUGAUGAAGGCCU